CUAGAGUCAACUCCGYGAUYGGGACUAAGUCGUAACAAGGUAGCCGUAGGUGAACCUGCAGAAGGAUCA
RNAcentral lists this ribosomal RNA (69 nucleotides) under uncultured eukaryote. Its description in RNAcentral is "partial small subunit ribosomal RNA". The record is from RNAcentral.